AAGUUCACUACUAUGAUAAUUACAGUAACUAAUUAGACUUCUGAUCAAAAUUUAUCGUAUCGUUAGGGAUAGUACUACAAAGCUUCAUCUCUUUUCGAAUUGGAAAAACUUGAACAUUGCAGGUGCAUGAUAACUCCGUCCAAGUUCACUACUAUGAUAAUUACAGUAACUAAUUAGACUUCUGAUCAAAAUUUAUCGUAUCGUUAGGGAUAGUACUACAAAGCUUCAUCUCUUUUCGAAUUGGAAAAACUUGAACAUUGCAGGUACAUGAUAACUCCGUCCAUGUCAAAUUUCAAAGUAUUUGUAACCGUCAUCAGAGUUGGUCAUUCCCUCUUCCCAAUCACCCAUCCGCUGACCACCAAAAACAACUUGUUGAAUGCCUACAU
Molecule: long non-coding RNA, 386 nt
Filed under: Solanum lycopersicum (tomato)
Lineage: Eukaryota; Viridiplantae; Streptophyta; Magnoliopsida; Solanales; Solanaceae
Description: long non-coding RNA (SLYC_LNC000590)
Source: RNAcentral